GAUGAACGCUGGCGGCGUGCUUAACACAUGCAAGUCGAACGGAAAGGCCCAAGCUUGCUUGGGUACUCGAGUGGCGAACGGGUGAGUAACACGUGGGUGAUCUGCCCUGCACUUCGGGAUAAGCCUGGGAAACUGGGUCUAAUACCGGAUAGGACCACUUCUUGGAUGUUGUGGUGGAAAGUUUUUUCGGUGUGGGAUGAGCUCGCGGCCUAUCAGCUUGUUGGUGGGGUAAUGGCCUACCAAGGCGUCGACGGGUAGCCGGCCUGAGAGGGUGUACGGCCACAUUGGGGCUGAGAUACGGCCCAGACUCCUACGGGAGGCAGCAGUGGGGAAUAUUGCACAAUGGGCGCAAGCCUGAUGCAGCGACGCCGCGUGGGGGAUGACGGCCUUCGGGUUGGAAACUCCUUUCGCUAGGGACGAAGCGUUUUGUGACGGUACCUGGAGAAGAAGCACCGGCUAACUACGUG
This 467-nucleotide ribosomal RNA is filed under the name uncultured bacterium. RNAcentral's name for it is "partial 16S ribosomal RNA". It matches the Rfam family "Bacterial small subunit ribosomal RNA", at positions 28 to 507 of the family's 1533-position model. The record is from RNAcentral.